GCUCAGGAUGAACGCUAGCGGGAGGCUUAACACAUGCAAGUCGAGGGGCAGCACGAGGUAGCAAUACUUUGGUGGCGACCGGCGCACGGGUGAGUAACACGUAUGCAACCUACCCUGUACAGGGGGAUAGCCCGGAGAAAUUCGGAUUAAUACCCCAUGAUUAUAUCGAGAGGCAUCUUUUGAUAUUUAAAGUUUCGACGGUACGGGAUGGGCAUGCGCAACAUUAGCUAGUUGGUAGGGUAACGGCCUACCAAGGCUACUAUGUUUAGGGGACCUGAGAGGGUGAUCCCCCACACUGGUACUGAGACACGGACCAGACUCCUACGGGAGGCAGCAGUGAGGAAUAUUGGUCAAUGGGCGUAAGCCUGAACCAGCCAUCCCGCGUGAAGGAAGAAGGCGCUAUGCGUUGUAAACUUCUUUUCCAGAGGAAGAAAACCCCUGACGUGUCAGGGCUUGCCGGUACUCUGGGAAUAAGCAUCGGCUAACUCCGUGCCAGCAGCCGCGGUAAUACGGAGGAUGCGAGCGUUAUCCGGAUUUAUUGGGUUUAAAGGGUGCGUAGGUGGAUUAAUAAGUCGGUGGUGAAAACCUUCAGUUUAACUGGAGACUUGCCAUUGAUACUGUUAGUCUUGAGUACGGUCAAGGUAGGCGGAAUGUGUAAUGUAGCGGUGAAAUGCUUAGAUAUUACACAGAACACCGAUUGCGAAGGCAGCUUACUGGGCCAUUACUGACGCUGAUGCACGAAAGCGUGGGGAGCGAACAGGAUUAGAUACCCUGGUAGUCCACGCCGUAAACGAUGAUCACUCGCUGUUGGCGAUACACAGUCAGCGGCUAAGCAAAAGCAUUAAGUGAUCCACCUG
Molecule: ribosomal RNA, 857 nt
Filed under: uncultured bacterium
Lineage: Bacteria
Description: bacterial SSU rRNA
Rfam family: Bacterial small subunit ribosomal RNA
Source: RNAcentral